RNAcentral lists this small nucleolar RNA (94 nucleotides) under Meriones unguiculatus (Mongolian gerbil). Its description in RNAcentral is "Small nucleolar RNA SNORA17 (ENSMUGG00000022092.1)". It matches the Rfam family "Small nucleolar RNA SNORA17". From Rfam's summary of the family: snoRNA ACA 17 belongs to the H/ACA family of snoRNAs and is predicted to guide pseudouridylation of the 28S rRNA at positions U4659 and U4598. The record is from RNAcentral. Lineage: Eukaryota; Metazoa; Chordata; Mammalia; Rodentia; Muridae.
CCUGCUGCCCAGGUUGGGUGGCAGAGAGGAGGGAGGUGUGUCUAUGCUCAGCGGUGGGACCUAUGAACAUCUGAAUAAUUAGUAGCCUCGCAGU